Molecule: ribosomal RNA, 835 nt
Filed under: uncultured bacterium
Lineage: Bacteria
Description: bacterial SSU rRNA
Rfam family: Bacterial small subunit ribosomal RNA
Source: RNAcentral
AGAGUUUGAUCCUGGCUCAGAACGAACGCUGGCGGCGUGGCUAAGACAUGCAAGUCGUACGGACCGCGGUAGCAAUAUUGCGGUUAGUGGCGAAAGGGUGAGUAAUGCAUGGGUAACGUACCCUGAACUCGGGGAUAACAGCGGGAGCAAUCCCUUUAGCGAAAGUGCUGCUAAUACCCGAUGAAGUCGCCGGGUCGCAUGACCGGGCGACCAAAGGUGGGGACCGCAAGGCCUGCCGGUUUGGGAGCGGCCCAUGUCCUAUCAGCUAGUUGGUGAGGUAACGGCUUACCAAGGCUAUGACGGGUAGCCGGACUGAGAGGUCGAUCGGCCACAUCGGGACUGAGACACUGCCCGGACACCUACGGGUGGCUGCAGUAACGAAUAUUGGGCAAUGGGCGCAAGCCUGACCCAGCGACGCCGCGUGCAGGAGGAAGUCCUUCGGGAUGUAAACUGCUGUCAGGGGCUAGCAAGCAAAGGGUGUUAACAGCAUCCGGCGUUGAGCCGCCCCAGAGGAAGCCUCGACUAACUCUGUGCCAGCAGUCGCGGUAAGACAGAGGAGGCAAGCGUUGUUCGGAAUCACUGGGCUUAAAGCGCGUGUAGGCGGCGGCGCAAGUGUCGUGUGAAAUCCCACGGCUCAACCGUGGAACUGCACGGCAAACUACGUCGCUUGAGGUUGGUAGAGGUGCCUGAAACUCUCGGUGGAGCGGUGAAAUGCGUUGAUAUCGAGAGGAACGCCGGGAGCGAAAGCGAGGCACUGGGCCGAUUCUGACGCUGAGACGCGAAAGCGUGGGGAGCAAACAGGAUUAGAUACCCUGGUAGUCCACGCUGUAAACGA